RNAcentral lists this ribosomal RNA (904 nucleotides) under Streptomyces sp. Its description in RNAcentral is "bacterial SSU rRNA". It matches the Rfam family "Bacterial small subunit ribosomal RNA", at positions 56 to 977 of the family's 1533-position model. Lineage: Bacteria; Bacillati; Actinomycetota; Actinomycetes; Kitasatosporales; Streptomycetaceae. The record is from RNAcentral.
UGCAGUCGACGAUGACCACUUCGGUGGGGAUUAGUGGCGAACGGGUGAGUAACACGUGGGCAAUCUGCCCUUCACUCUGGGACAAGCCCUGGAAACGGGGUCUAAUACCGGAUAUGAGCCUGGGAGGCAUCUCCUGGGUUGUAAAGCUCCGGCGGUGAAGGAUGAGCCCGCGGCCUAUCAGCUUGUUGGUGAGGUAAUGGCUCACCAAGGCGACGACGGGUAGCCGGCCUGAGAGGGCGACCGGCCACACUGGGACUGAGACACGGCCCAGACUCCUACGGGAGGCAGCAGUGGGGAAUAUUGCACAAUGGGCGAAAGCCUGAUGCAGCGACGCCGCGUGAGGGAUGACGGCCUUCGGGUUGUAAACCUCUUUCAGCAGGGAAGAAGCGAAAGUGACGGUACCUGCAGAAGAAGCGCCGGCUAACUACGUGCCAGCAGCCGCGGUAAUACGUAGGGCGCAAGCGUUGUCCGGAAUUAUUGGGCGUAAAGAGCUCGUAGGCGGCUUGUCACGUCGAUUGUGAAAGCCCGAGGCUUAACCUCGGGUCUGCAGUCGAUACGGGCUAGCUAGAGUGUGGUAGGGGAGAUCGGAAUUCCUGGUGUAGCGGUGAAAUGCGCAGAUAUCAGGAGGAACACCGGUGGCGAAGGCGGAUCUCUGGGCCAUUACUGACGCUGAGGAGCGAAAGCGUGGGGAGCGAACAGGAUUAGAUACCCUGGUAGUCCACGCCGUAAACGGUGGGAACUAGGUGUUGGCGACAUUCCACGUCGUCGGUGCCGCAGCUAACGCAUUAAGUUCCCCGCCUGGGGAGUACGGCCGCAAAGGCUAAAACUCAAAGGAUUUGACGGGGGCCCGCACAAGCGGCGGAGCAUGUGGCUUAAUUCGACGCAACGCGAAGAACCUUACCAA